UCUUGGUCAUUUAGAGGAAGUAAAAGUCGUAACAAGGUCUCCGUAGGUGAACCUGCGGAGGGAUCAUUACCGAGUUUCGUGCCCGUACGGGUAGAUCUCCCACCCUAUGUUAUUAUUACCUUGUUGCUUUGGCGGGCCGCCAGGCUCCGGUCAGGCUAUCGGCUUCGGCUGGUAAGCCGCCCGCCAGAGGACCCAAUAUUCCUGAUUAUCAGUGUCGUCUGAGUACUAUGAUAAUAGUUAAAACUUUCAACAACGGAUCUCUUGGUUCUGGCAUCGAUGAAGAACGCAGCGAAAUGCGAUAAGUAAUGUGAAUUGCAGAAUUCAGUGAAUCAUCGAAUCUUUGAACGCACAUUGCGCCCCUUGGUAUUCCGAGGGGCAUGCCUGUUCGAGCGUCAUUACAACCCUCAAGCAUUGCUUGGUAUUGGGUUCCGCUGCUCACCCAGCGGGCCUUAAAGUCAGUGGCGGUGCCGUCGGGCCCUGAGCGUAGUAAACCUCCUCGCUAUAGGGACCCGGUGGACGCUGGCCAUCAACCCCCUCACUUUCUAAGUUUGACCUCGGAUCAGGUAGGGAUACCCGCUGAACUUAAGCAUAUCAAUAAGCGGAGG
This 605-nucleotide ribosomal RNA is filed under the name Hyaloscyphaceae sp. CC 14-35. RNAcentral's name for it is "eukaryotic LSU rRNA". The stretch from base 242 to 395 matches the Rfam family "5.8S ribosomal RNA". Lineage: Eukaryota; Fungi; Ascomycota; Leotiomycetes; Helotiales; Hyaloscyphaceae. The record is from RNAcentral.